GCCACGCCCGCUCAGUCAGAGUUUGAUCCUGGCUCAGAACGAACGCUGGCGGCAGGCUUAACACAUGCAAGUCGAGCGCACUCUUUUAGAGUGAGCGGCAAACGGGUGAGUAACGCGUGGGAAUCUACCCCUCUCUACGGAAUAACACAGAGAAAUUUGUGCUAAUACCGUAUACGUCCCUUUUGGGAGAAAGAUUUAUCGGAGAUGGAUGAGCCCGCGUUGGAUUAGCUAGUUGGUGAGGUAACGGCCCACCAAGGCGACGAUCCAUAGCUGGUCUGAGAGGAUGAUCAGCCACACUGGGACUGAGACACGGCCCAG
RNAcentral lists this ribosomal RNA (318 nucleotides) under uncultured bacterium. RNAcentral's name for it is "bacterial SSU rRNA". It matches the Rfam family "Bacterial small subunit ribosomal RNA", at positions 1 to 334 of the family's 1533-position model. The record is from RNAcentral.